UUCUCCUACAAUCUGCGUAUCUGUGGUUCCCUGUCUUUGGGCACGUAAUAAUUGGAGGCAAAGAAAUGUGGACUUGGAGAAGUCUUGGACCGGCUUGCUCUCUGCAGGCUCAAGAUCAACCAUCCCACAUAG
Molecule: small nucleolar RNA, 132 nt
Organism: Eptesicus fuscus (big brown bat)
Lineage: Eukaryota; Metazoa; Chordata; Mammalia; Chiroptera; Vespertilionidae
Product: small nucleolar RNA SNORA38
Exons: 1
Source: RefSeq, a predicted model, not a curated record